This 253-nucleotide ribosomal RNA is filed under the name uncultured bacterium. RNAcentral's name for it is "partial 16S ribosomal RNA". It matches the Rfam family "Bacterial small subunit ribosomal RNA", at positions 524 to 776 of the family's 1533-position model. The record is from RNAcentral.
UACGGAGGGUGCAAGCGUUAUCCGGAUUUAUUGGGUUUAAAGGGUCCGUAGGCGGACUCAUAAGUCAGUGGUGAAAUCCUGCAGCUCAACUGUAGAACUGCCAUUGAUACUGUGAGUCUUGAAUUUGGUUGAAGUGGGCGGAAUAUGACAUGUAGCGGUGAAAUGCUUAGAUAUGUCAUAGAACACCGAUUGCGAAGGCAGCUCACUAAGCCUGGAUUGACGCUGAGGGACGAAAGCGUGGGUAGCGAACAGG